CCUGACCAGCCCUCAGCAGGACCCGGACCGAGACACAGUUUCCGCGGGCUCCUAGCCCCGGUCCAGGGAAGUUCCGGGAGCCGGAACUCGGCCGCUCCGUGCUCGGUGUAAGCUCCUAUAAGUGUAGGCUCCAAGAAGCAGCCCCCGCGGGCUCAGUUCCGGGAGCCGGAAUUCGGCCGCUUAGUGUUUGGUGUAUGCUCUGAUAGUAGCAGGGUCCAAGAAGCAGCCUCCGCGGGCUCCGCAGCCCUGAGCCAGGGCGGUUCCGGGACGGUUCCGGGAGCCGGAACUCGAAAUGUUGUUAUUUAUAUAUUCUGUAAUUUCAGUUUCAUACGAAAACAAAUUCAGGAGUUGCUUUUAAAAACACUAAAUUCUAUUUUUAAACUGUCUUUUGCCCAUUUUUGUUCCUUUUAGUCUGCCCCGCUGGCUGGAAACCUGGUAGUGAAACAAUAAUCCCAGAUCCAACUGGAAAACUGAAGUAUUUUGAUAAACUAAAUUGAAAACUACUUCAUCAAGUUUUAAUGCUUGAAAGUUCUCAAUAAAGGUCACUGUUUUAUUAUCA
Long non-coding RNA from Marmota monax (woodchuck), 559 nucleotides. RefSeq lists it as uncharacterized. The record is from RefSeq and is a predicted model, not a curated record. The transcript has 2 exons. Lineage: Eukaryota; Metazoa; Chordata; Mammalia; Rodentia; Sciuridae.